AGGAUCGUUUGUUCGGAUGGUUACGUUAUAGUCAUUUAUGAAUUCACGUUUUACAGCCAUAAAAUUUAUGUAUAAUCCAUGAAACCGGAUUUUCACCUUUUUGAACUCAAAAUAACUUAACAACACUUGCGACGAAUUUUAUUGUCAAUGUAGUUGAGCAGAAAAACUAUUCAUGUGCUCACUUUCCUCGGAAAUGGGAGAGUGAAAUAUGUUAGCCUGCAAGCUUUCGUUUCUUGUCUCCAUCAUGCUCUUAUUAGGUA
This 260-nucleotide long non-coding RNA is filed under the name Hordeum vulgare. RNAcentral's name for it is "long non-coding RNA (HVUL_LNC013270)". Lineage: Eukaryota; Viridiplantae; Streptophyta; Magnoliopsida; Poales; Poaceae. The record is from RNAcentral.